Molecule: ribosomal RNA, 201 nt
Filed under: uncultured bacterium
Lineage: Bacteria
Description: partial 16S ribosomal RNA
Rfam family: Bacterial small subunit ribosomal RNA
Source: RNAcentral
GCUAAUACCGGAUAACAACACUAGACGCAUGUCUAGAGUUUAAAAGAAUGGUUCUGCUAUCACUCUUGGAUGGACCUGCGGUGCAUUAGCUAGUUGGUAAGGUAACGGCUUACCAAGGCAAUGAUGCAUAGCCGAGUUGAGAGACUGAUCGGCCACAUUGGGACUGAGACACGGUCCAAACUCCUACGGGAGGCAGCAGAC